This 789-nucleotide ribosomal RNA is filed under the name Triticum aestivum (bread wheat). Its description in RNAcentral is "partial small subunit ribosomal RNA". The record is from RNAcentral. Lineage: Eukaryota; Viridiplantae; Streptophyta; Magnoliopsida; Poales; Poaceae.
AUGAUGUUCCCAUCACCAGGGGGUGCGGCGAUGGCGCUGGCCCACGGCCAAGCAGCUUCCACGGGCGCAACGACCGCCGGCGGCACCGCGACCGCCAUAACCUUCAGCUUCCAGCCCUCCGAUCCUCCUGUGAACGGCGGCCUCUCCCACCACCAUAGCCUCCUAGGUUACAGCCCCCUCGUACUAGACCACCCAACCACCACUACUUCCUCCUCCACCAUCCCUACCGCCGCUCCCACACUUCACCACAUCCAUGCUCAUGCCGGAGCCAUCCAUCCUGCAAGGUCAUCCCCUCCACAUCCAUGGUCUUGCGAGGAAGCUGAUCGAGAAAGGCAGAGGGGGAAGGGCGCGGUGGCAGGCAUGGGGAUUAACAGCGCGGCGGCCGGCGGAAGUGGAGGUGGUGAACGGUCACACGGGUCGUCGGCGGCGGCUGCGGGGAUGGGGGUCGGCGCGGUGAGGAUGAAGAAGGCGGCGGGGGGAGGAGCGGUGAAGGCGCGGCGGAAGGUGCGGGAGCCGAGGUUCUGCUUCAAGACCAUGAGCGACGUCGACGUGCUCGACGACGGCUACAAGUGGCGCAAGUAUGGCCAGAAGGUCGUCAAGAACACGCAGCACCCACGGAGCUACUACCGGUGCACGCAGGACAAGUGCCGGGUGAAGAAGCGGGUGGAGCGGCUGGCGGAGGACCCGCGCAUGGUGAUCACCACCUACGAGGGGCGGCACGUCCACUCCCCCUCCCGGGACGACGACGACGCCGCGCGCGCCAGCGCCGAGAUGAGCUUCAUCUGGUAG